This is a non-coding RNA of Leptonychotes weddellii (Weddell seal), 498 nucleotides long. Lineage: Eukaryota; Metazoa; Chordata; Mammalia; Carnivora; Phocidae. The record is from RefSeq and is a predicted model, not a curated record.
ACAUGGUCGGCUGGUGAUCUCCAGAGAAAGAACCAGGUUUCUGAAGAUAGGGAUCAGAUGGAGGAUCUGUUAGCUCUUCUUUACAACGUCGAAGGGACUCCCACGUUUGUGUGGAGUACAGGUCUGUGAUUCAUCAGUCUUACACAAUUCACAGCGCUCACCAUAGCCUGUUUUUAAACAAACGUCUGUCUGUUUGGAAGAGGUGGUGUUCACUCUGUGGUCUAGUUACCCCUUACCUGAAAAAUGCCUUCCUCUGUGGGUCUCAGUGAGUCCCAUUCCGGAGAGUCCAGGAACUGGAAGGGGAAAAUGUAAUGCAGAAAUUCGCCAUCAACCGUCACUCUGAUCCUACCCAAAACAAAGAACAUCAUUCAUGAGAGAAGGAGAAAGCAAGCCCAUAAUUGGAGGCAAGGGGGAGGGAGCAGUAUUUCAGAUCUCCGGUGGUCUUUAUGGCUUUUAAAAUUUUGUAGGAUGAAAUAUUAAAUUCACGCAUUACAGUAA